RNAcentral lists this ribosomal RNA (2892 nucleotides) under Pseudomonas syringae pv. syringae. Its description in RNAcentral is "bacterial LSU rRNA". It matches the Rfam family "Bacterial large subunit ribosomal RNA". The record is from RNAcentral. Lineage: Bacteria; Pseudomonadati; Pseudomonadota; Gammaproteobacteria; Pseudomonadales; Pseudomonadaceae. RNAcentral also lists the same sequence under 1 other name.
UCAAGUGAAGAAGCGCAUACGGUGGAUGCCUUGGCAGUCAGAGGCGAUGAAAGACGUGGUAGCCUGCGAAAAGCUUCGGGGAGUCGGCAAACAGACUGUGAUCCGGAGAUGUCUGAAUGGGGGAACCCAGCCAUCAUAAGAUGGUUAUCUUGUACUGAAUACAUAGGUGCAAGAGGCGAACCAGGGGAACUGAAACAUCUAAGUACCCUGAGGAAAAGAAAUCAACCGAGAUUCCCUUAGUAGUGGCGAGCGAACGGGGACCAGCCCUUAAGUUGUAUUGAGAUUAGCGGAACACUCUGGAAAGGGUGGCCAUAGUGGGUGAUAGCCCUGUACGCGAAAAUCCCUUUGCAAUGAAAUCGAGUAGGACGGGGCACGAGAAACCUUGUCUGAAUAUGGGGGGACCAUCCUCCAAGGCUAAAUACUACUGACUGACCGAUAGUGAACCAGUACCGUGAGGGAAAGGCGAAAAGAACCGCGGAGAGCGGAGUGAAAUAGAUCCUGAAACCGUAUGCGUACAAGCAGUGGGAGCCCACUUUGUUGGGUGACUGCGUACCUUUUGUAUAAUGGGUCAGCGACUUAUUUUCAGUGGCGAGCUUAACCGAAUAGGGGAGGCGUAGCGAAAGCGAGUCUUAAUAGGGCGUCUAGUCGCUGGGAAUAGACCCGAAACCGGGCGAUCUAUCCAUGGGCAGGUUGAAGGUUGGGUAACACUAACUGGAGGACCGAACCGACUACCGUUGAAAAGUUAGCGGAUGACCUGUGGAUCGGAGUGAAAGGCUAAUCAAGCUCGGAGAUAGCUGGUUCUCCUCGAAAGCUAUUUAGGUAGCGCCUCAUGUAUCACUGUAGGGGGUAGAGCACUGUUUCGGCUAGGGGGUCAUCCCGACUUACCAAACCGAUGCAAACUCCGAAUACCUACAAGUGCCGAGCAUGGGAGACACACGGCGGGUGCUAACGUCCGUCGUGAAAAGGGAAACAACCCAGACCGUCAGCUAAGGUCCCAAAGUCAUGGUUAAGUGGGAAACGAUGUGGGAAGGCUUAGACAGCUAGGAGGUUGGCUUAGAAGCAGCCACCCUUUAAAGAAAGCGUAAUAGCUCACUAGUCGAGUCGGCCUGCGCGGAAGAUGUAACGGGGCUCAAACCAUGCACCGAAGCUACGGGUAUCAUCUUUUGAUGAUGCGGUAGAGGAGCGUUCUGUAAGCCUGUGAAGGUGAGUUGAGAAGCUUGCUGGAGGUAUCAGAAGUGCGAAUGCUGACAUGAGUAACGACAAUGGGUGUGAAAAACACCCACGCCGAAAGACCAAGGUUUCCUGCGCAACGUUAAUCGACGCAGGGUUAGUCGGUCCCUAAGGCGAGGCUGAAAAGCGUAGUCGAUGGAAAACAGGUUAAUAUUCCUGUACUUCUGGUUAUUGCGAUGGAGGGACGGAGAAGGCUAGGCCAGCCUGGCGUUGGUUGUCCAGGUUUAAGGUGGUAGGCUGAGAUCUUAGGUAAAUCCGGGAUCUUAAGGCCGAGAGCUGAUGACGAGUGUUCUUUUAGAACACGAAGUGGUUGAUGCCAUGCUUCCAAGAAAAGCUUCUAAGCUUCAGGUAACCAGGAACCGUACCCCAAACCGACACAGGUGGUUGGGUAGAGAAUACCAAGGCGCUUGAGAGAACUCGGGUGAAGGAACUAGGCAAAAUGGCACCGUAACUUCGGGAGAAGGUGCGCCGGUGGAGGUGAAGCAUUUACUGCGUAAGCCCCUGCCGGUCGAAGAUACCAGGCCGCUGCGACUGUUUAUUAAAAACACAGCACUCUGCAAACACGAAAGUGGACGUAUAGGGUGUGACGCCUGCCCGGUGCCGGAAGGUUAAUUGAUGGGGUUAGCGCAAGCGAAGCUCUUGAUCGAAGCCCCGGUAAACGGCGGCCGUAACUAUAACGGUCCUAAGGUAGCGAAAUUCCUUGUCGGGUAAGUUCCGACCUGCACGAAUGGCGUAACGAUGGCGGCGCUGUCUCCACCCGAGACUCAGUGAAAUUGAAAUCGCUGUGAAGAUGCAGUGUAUCCGCGGCUAGACGGAAAGACCCCGUGAACCUUUACUAUAGCUUUGCACUGGACUUUGAAUUUGCUUGUGUAGGAUAGGUGGGAGGCUUUGAAGCGUGGACGCCAGUCUGCGUGGAGCCAACCUUGAAAUACCACCCUGGCAACUUUGAGGUUCUAACUCAGGUCCGUUAUCCGGAUCGAGGACAGUGUAUGGUGGGUAGUUUGACUGGGGCGGUCUCCUCCUAAAGAGUAACGGAGGAGUACGAAGGUGCGCUCAGACCGGUCGGAAAUCGGUCGUAGAGUAUAAAGGCAAAAGCGCGCUUGACUGCGAGACAGACACGUCGAGCAGGUACGAAAGUAGGUCUUAGUGAUCCGGUGGUUCUGUAUGGAAGGGCCAUCGCUCAACGGAUAAAAGGUACUCCGGGGAUAACAGGCUGAUACCGCCCAAGAGUUCAUAUCGACGGCGGUGUUUGGCACCUCGAUGUCGGCUCAUCACAUCCUGGGGCUGAAGCCGGUCCCAAGGGUAUGGCUGUUCGCCAUUUAAAGUGGUACGCGAGCUGGGUUUAGAACGUCGUGAGACAGUUCGGUCCCUAUCUGCCGUGGACGUUUGAGAUUUGAGAGGGGCUGCUCCUAGUACGAGAGGACCGGAGUGGACGAACCUCUGGUGUUCCGGUUGUCACGCCAGUGGCAUUGCCGGGUAGCUAUGUUCGGAAAAGAUAACCGCUGAAAGCAUCUAAGCGGGAAACUUGCCUCAAGAUGAGAUCUCACUGGAACCUUGAGUUCCCUAAAGGGCCGUCGAAGACUACGACGUUGAUAGGUUGGGUGUGUAAGCGCUGUGAGGCGUUGAGCUAACCAAUACUAAUUGCCCGUGAGGCUUGACCAU